CUUGGUCAUUUAGAGGAAGUAAAAGUCGUAACAAGGUCUCCGUAGGUGAACCUGCGGAUGGAUCAUUACAAAAGAGACCAAGUUCAGUGCCCAAGACUCUUAAAACAGGUCUGGCCUGUUCUUUAGUCCCACCCACACUUUGUGAACUGUUGAUUGUCUCUGGCAGUUUUGCUCUAAAGUUGUCAUCCUUUUCAGGUGACAAUUUUUAAAACAGGCUGCCGAAGGGUCUUUGACCCAUCAUUCUUUUAACUCUAUGCUUAACAUUAUCAGUCUGAAACUCUUCAUAUUAUAAAAUGUGAAAACAACUUUUGACAACGGAUCUCUUGGCUCUCGCAACGAUGAAGAACGCAGCGAAAUGCGAUACGUAAUGUGAAUUGCAGAAUUCCGUGAAUCAUCGAAUCUUUGAAUGCAUAUUGCGACCUUCUGGUAUUCCAGGAGGUAUGCCUGUUUGAGAAUCGUGACCACCUCACUUCUUUUUUGAAGUGGACAAUGAGUUUUCCCUUGCAUCUCUUCUUUUCAAGAAGUCUGAUCUUGGGUAACUUGAAAUACAUGCAGGCCUUGGAUGGAACACCUAUUCGGUGAACAGGCGUGAUAAAACGUCCACUAGGACAAGUAUUAAUCGCUUAAAGUAACCGUGGGCAAAAAGUAUCUAUCUAUGUUUGACUGCAACGCAGGAAACUGAAGGUUAAGUGGACUUAAUCUUCUGUGUACUGAAUCUCAAAUCAGGCAAGACUACCCGCAGAACUUAAGCAUAUCAAUAAGCGGAGGA
RNAcentral lists this ribosomal RNA (769 nucleotides) under uncultured basal lineage fungus. RNAcentral describes it as "eukaryotic LSU rRNA". The stretch from base 304 to 458 matches the Rfam family "5.8S ribosomal RNA". Lineage: Eukaryota; Fungi. The record is from RNAcentral.